CUUCCUUUUUUCUCCUUUCACUAGCUAGAAAUUCCCUAAACUAGAAAUAACUAGAAUAAUAAAUACAACAAGAUUUGUGGUAGCAGUGGUGAUGAGUAAUGACCUUCCAGGACCAACUGUUGCUGCUGCUGACUGAUCAUCUGUUUGGUGUGGAGGUUUUCUAUAGUAGUAUGGGAAAUAAGGCAAGAUAGGGUCAGGAGGGGGCUGACCAUAUAAAGAAUUACCUCCACCAUAAGGUGGUGGUGGAUAGUAAUAUGGUAAGUUCCCUGUAGGUGGAGGGUAUGCUCCUGUUUGGGAGGGUGGUGAGUAACUAGCUGGAGGUGUUUGUGUCACUGUGCCGCCGCCGCCUCCGCCGCCGGUGCCUGUUGGUGGUGGGAAACAUGGA
Molecule: long non-coding RNA, 385 nt
Filed under: Gossypium barbadense (sea-island cotton)
Lineage: Eukaryota; Viridiplantae; Streptophyta; Magnoliopsida; Malvales; Malvaceae
Description: long non-coding RNA (GBAR_LNC014389)
Source: RNAcentral